Molecule: ribosomal RNA, 1376 nt
Filed under: Staphylococcus aureus
Lineage: Bacteria; Bacillati; Bacillota; Bacilli; Caryophanales; Staphylococcaceae
Description: bacterial SSU rRNA
Rfam family: Bacterial small subunit ribosomal RNA
Source: RNAcentral
GCUUGCUUCUCUGAUGUUAGCGGCGGACGGGUGAGUAACACGUGGAUAACCUACCUAUAAGACUGGGAUAACUUCGGGAAACCGGAGCUAAUACCGGAUAAUAUUUUGAACCGCAUGGUUCAAAAGUGAAAGACGGUCUUGCUGUCACUUAUAGAUGGAUCCGCGCUGCAUUAGCUAGUUGGUAAGGUAACGGCUUACCAAGGCAACGAUGCAUAGCCGACCUGAGAGGGUGAUCGGCCACACUGGAACUGAGACACGGUCCAGACUCCUACGGGAGGCAGCAGUAGGGAAUCUUCCGCAAUGGGCGAAAGCCUGACGGAGCAACGCCGCGUGAGUGAUGAAGGUCUUCGGAUCGUAAAACUCUGUUAUUAGGGAAGAACAUAUGUGUAAGUAACUGUGCACAUCUUGACGGUACCUAAUCAGAAAGCCACGGCUAACUACGUGCCAGCAGCCGCGGUAAUACGUAGGUGGCAAGCGUUAUCCGGAAUUAUUGGGCGUAAAGCGCGCGUAGGCGGUUUUUUAAGUCUGAUGUGAAAGCCCACGGCUCAACCGUGGAGGGUCAUUGGAAACUGGAAAACUUGAGUGCAGAAGAGGAAAGUGGAAUUCCAUGUGUAGCGGUGAAAUGCGCAGAGAUAUGGAGGAACACCAGUGGCGAAGGCGACUUUCUGGUCUGUAACUGACGCUGAUGUGCGAAAGCGUGGGGAUCAAACAGGAUUAGAUACCCUGGUAGUCCACGCCGUAAACGAUGAGUGCUAAGUGUUAGGGGGUUUCCGCCCCUUAGUGCUGCAGCUAACGCAUUAAGCACUCCGCCUGGGGAGUACGACCGCAAGGUUGAAACUCAAAGGAAUUGACGGGGACCCGCACAAGCGGUGGAGCAUGUGGUUUAAUUCGAAGCAACGCGAAGAACCUUACCAAAUCUUGACAUCCUUUGACAACUCUAGAGAUAGAGCUUUCCCCUUCGGGGGACAAAGUGACAGGUGGUGCAUGGUUGUCGUCAGCUCGUGUCGUGAGAUGUUGGGUUAAGUCCCGCAACGAGCGCAACCCUUAAGCUUAGUUGCCAUCAUUAAGUUGGGCACUCUAAGUUGACUGCCGGUGACAAACCGGAGGAAGGUGGGGAUGACGUCAAAUCAUCAUGCCCCUUAUGAUUUGGGCUACACACGUGCUACAAUGGACAAUACAAAGGGCAGCGAAACCGCGAGGUCAAGCAAAUCCCAUAAAGUUGUUCUCAGUUCGGAUUGUAGUCUGCAACUCGACUACAUGAAGCUGGAAUCGCUAGUAAUCGUAGAUCAGCAUGCUACGGUGAAUACGUUCCCGGGUCUUGUACACACCGCCCGUCACACCACGAGAGUUUGUAACACCCGAAGCCGGUGGAGUAA